RNAcentral lists this transfer RNA (67 nucleotides) under Marmota monax (woodchuck). RNAcentral's name for it is "tRNA.Ala". Lineage: Eukaryota; Metazoa; Chordata; Mammalia; Rodentia; Sciuridae. The record is from RNAcentral.
GGUUGUGGCUCAGUAGUAGAGUGCUUGCCUGGCACAUGUGAGGCACUGGGUUCAAUUCUCAGCACCA